RNAcentral lists this ribosomal RNA (392 nucleotides) under uncultured bacterium. RNAcentral describes it as "bacterial SSU rRNA". It matches the Rfam family "Bacterial small subunit ribosomal RNA", at positions 28 to 422 of the family's 1533-position model. The record is from RNAcentral.
GACGAACGCUGGCGGCGUGCUUAACACAUGCAAGUCGAGCGGUAAGGCCCUUUCGGGGGUACACGAGCGGCGAACGGGUGAGUAACACGUGGGUGACCUGCCCUCAGCUCUGGGAUAAGCCUGGGAAACCGGGUCUAAUACUGGAUAUGACUCCAUGACGCAUGUUGUGGGGUGGAAAGCCUUGUGCGGCUGAGGAUGGGCCCGCGGCCUAUCAGCUUGUUGGUGGGGUGAGGCCUACCAAGGCGACGACGGGUAGCCGGCCUGAGAGGGCGACCGGCCACACUGGGACUGAGACACGGCCCAGACUCCUACGGGAGGCAGCAGUGGGGAAUCUUGCGCAAUGGGCGAAAGCCUGACGCAGCGACGCCGCGUGAGGGAUGACGGCCUGGUGU